UUAUAGAGAAGAUAAGAAGGAUGGGAAGGAGUAACAAAAGUGAAAACAAAAAUUAAAACAUGAAAUCUAUUUGAAAUUGUUUUUACUUUUGUUACUCCUCCCUCCCGUCCUUCCUUCUCAUCCUCUCUCU
This 130-nucleotide microRNA precursor is filed under the name Prunus dulcis (almond). RNAcentral describes it as "sRNA ncRNA". Lineage: Eukaryota; Viridiplantae; Streptophyta; Magnoliopsida; Rosales; Rosaceae. The record is from RNAcentral.